RNAcentral lists this ribosomal RNA (465 nucleotides) under uncultured bacterium. RNAcentral's name for it is "partial 16S ribosomal RNA". It matches the Rfam family "Bacterial small subunit ribosomal RNA", at positions 338 to 795 of the family's 1533-position model. The record is from RNAcentral.
CCUACGUGAGGCAGCAGUGGGGAAUAUUGCGCAAUGGGCGAAAGCCUGACGCAGCGACGCCGCGUGAGGGAUGAAGGUCUUCGGAUCGUAAACCUCUGUCAGCAGGGAAGAACAGUCACUGUGCUAAUCAGCAGUGAAUUGACGGUACCUGCAAAGGAAGCACCGGCUAACUCCGUGCCAGCAGCCGCGGUAAUACGGAUGGUGCGAGCGUUAAUCGGAAUUACUGGGCGUAAAGCGCUCGUAGGCGGUAUUUCAAGUCAAGGGUGAAAUCCCCGCGCUCAACGUGGGAACUGCCUUUGAAACUGGCAAACUGGAGUGGGUGAGAGGAUAGUGGAAUUCCAGGUGUAGGAGUGAAAUCCGUAGAUAUCUGGAGGAACAUCAGUGGCGAAGGCGACUAUCUGGCACAUAACUGACGCUGAGGAGCGAAAGCGUGGGUAGCAAACAGGAUUAGAUACCCCUGUAGUC